AGAGUUUGAUCCUGGCUCAGAACGAACGCUGGCGGCAUGCCUAACACAUGCAAGUCGAACGGUGGCUUCGGCCACAGUGGCGCACGGGUGAGUAACACGUGGGAACCUGCCUUUCGGUUCGGGAUAACGUCUGGAAACGGACGCUAACACCGGAUACGCCCUUCGGGGGAAAGUUUACGCCGAGAGAGGGGCCCGCGUCCGAUUAGGUAGUUGGUGGGGUAACGGCCUACCAAGCCGACGAUCGGUAGCUGGUCUGAGAGGAUGAUCAGCCACACUGGGAUUGAGACACGGCCCAGACUCCUACGGGAGGCAGCAGUGGGGAAUAUUGGACAAUGGGGGUAACCCUGAUCCAGCAAUGCCGCGUGAGUGAUGAAGGCCUUAGGGUUGUAAAGCUCUUUCGCACGCGACGAUGAUGACGGUAGCGUGAGAAGAAGCCCCGGUUAACUUCGUGCCAGCAGUUGCGGUAAUACGAAGGGGGCUAGCGUUGUUCGGAAUUACUGGGCGUAAAGGGCGCGUAGGCGGCCCGUUUAGUCAGAAGUGAAAGCCCCGGGUUUAACCUGGGAAUUGCUUUUGAUAUUGGCGGGCUUGAGUUCCGGAGAGGAUGGUGGAAUUCCCAGUGUAGAGGUGAAAUUUGUAGAUAUUGGGAAGAACACCGGUGGCGAAGGUGGCCAUCUGGACGGACACUGACGCUGAGGCGCGAAAGCGUGGGGAGUAAACAGGAUUAGAUACCCUGGUAGUCCACGCCGUAAACGAUGAAUGCUAGACGUCGGGGUGCAUGCACUUCGGUGUCGCCGCUAACGCAUUAAGCAUUCCGCCUGGGGAGUACGGCCGCAAGGUUAAAACUCAAAGGAAUUGACGG
This 859-nucleotide ribosomal RNA is filed under the name uncultured Rhodospirillaceae bacterium. RNAcentral describes it as "bacterial SSU rRNA". It matches the Rfam family "Bacterial small subunit ribosomal RNA", at positions 8 to 916 of the family's 1533-position model. Lineage: Bacteria; Pseudomonadati; Pseudomonadota; Alphaproteobacteria; Rhodospirillales; Rhodospirillaceae. The record is from RNAcentral.